GGCGACGUGGCCGAGUGGUUAAGGCAGCGGUCUGCAAAACCGUUUUUAACCAGUUCGAUUCUGGUCGUCGCCUCCA
This 76-nucleotide transfer RNA is filed under the name Bacillota bacterium. Its description in RNAcentral is "tRNA-Cys". It matches the Rfam family "tRNA". From Rfam's summary of the family: Transfer RNA (tRNA) molecules are approximately 80 nucleotides in length. Lineage: Bacteria; Bacillati; Bacillota. The record is from RNAcentral.